AUGAACGCUGGCGGCGUGCCUAAUACAUGCAAGUCGAGCGAACAGACGAGGAGCUUGCUCCUCUGACGUUAGCGGCGGACGGGUGAGUAACACGUGGAUAACCUACCUAUAAGACUGGGAUAACUUCGGGAAACCGGAGCUAAUACCGGAUAAUAUAUUGAACCGCAUGGUUCAAUAGUGAAAGACGGUUUUGCUGUCACUUAUAGAUGGAUCCGCGCCGCAUUAGCUAGUUGGUAAGGUAACGGCUUACCAAGGCAACGAUGCGUAGCCGACCUGAGAGGGUGAUCGGCCACACUGGAAGUGAGACACGGUCCAGACUCCUACGGGAGGCAGCAGUAGGGAAUCUUCCGCAAUGGGCGAAAGCCUGACGGAGCAACGCCGCGUGAGUGAUGAAGGUCUUCGGAUCGUAAAACUCUGUUAUUAGGGAAGAACAAAUGUGUAAGUAACUAUGCACGUCUUGACGGUACCUAAUCAGAAAGCCACGGCUAACUACGUG
Molecule: ribosomal RNA, 496 nt
Filed under: uncultured bacterium
Lineage: Bacteria
Description: partial 16S ribosomal RNA
Rfam family: Bacterial small subunit ribosomal RNA
Source: RNAcentral